GGCCCCAUCGUCUAGCCCGGUUUAGGACACCAGAUUCUCAUUCUGGCGGCACGGGUUCGAAUCCCGUUGGGGCUG
Molecule: transfer RNA, 75 nt
Filed under: Candidatus Omnitrophota bacterium
Lineage: Bacteria; Pseudomonadati; Candidatus Omnitrophota
Description: Candidatus Omnitrophica bacterium tRNA-Glu
Rfam family: tRNA
About the family: Transfer RNA (tRNA) molecules are approximately 80 nucleotides in length. Their secondary structure includes four short double-helical elements and three loops (D, anti-codon, and T loops).
Source: RNAcentral